UUACAUACCUGGUAGGGGAGACACCAUGAUCAUGAAGGUGGUUUUCUCAGGGUGAGGCUCAUCCAUUGUACUCUGGAUGUGCUGACCCCUGUGAUUUCCUCAUAUGCGGGAAACUUGACUGCAUAAUUUGUGGUAGUGGGGGACUGCGCUUGCACUUUCCCUUA
Eublepharis macularius is the source of this 164-nucleotide small nuclear RNA. RefSeq annotates it as U1 spliceosomal RNA. Lineage: Eukaryota; Metazoa; Chordata; Lepidosauria; Squamata; Eublepharidae. The record is from RefSeq and is a predicted model, not a curated record. The transcript has a single exon.